RNAcentral lists this ribosomal RNA (374 nucleotides) under uncultured bacterium. RNAcentral's name for it is "bacterial SSU rRNA". It matches the Rfam family "Bacterial small subunit ribosomal RNA", at positions 1135 to 1507 of the family's 1533-position model. The record is from RNAcentral.
UCACUCUAGGNCGGACUGCCGGUAAUAAACCGGAGGAAGGUGGGGAUGACGUCAAAUCAUCAUGCCCCUUAUGACCUGGGCUACACACGUGCUACAAUGGCUGGUACAACGAGUCGCAAGCCGGUGACGGCAAGCUAAUCUCUGAAAGCCAGUCUCAGUUCGGAUUGUAGGCUGCAACUCGCCUACAUGAAGUCGGAAUCGCUAGUAAUCGCGGAUCAGCACGCCGCGGUGAAUACGUUCCCGGGCCUUGUACACACCGCCCGUCACACCACGAGAGUUUGUAACACCCGAAGUCGGUGAGGUAACCGUAAGGAGCCAGCCGCCUAAGGUGGGAUAGAUGAUUGGGGUGAAGUCGUAACAGGGUAACCGUAAGG